Molecule: ribosomal RNA, 254 nt
Filed under: uncultured bacterium
Lineage: Bacteria
Description: partial 16S ribosomal RNA
Rfam family: Bacterial small subunit ribosomal RNA
Source: RNAcentral
UACGUAGGUUCCGAGCGUUAUCCGGAUUUACUGGGCGUAAAGGGUGUCUAGGCGGUUUGAUAAGUCGAACACUAAAUCUGGUGGCUCAACCAUACAGAUGAUGUUUGAUACUGUUGAACUAGAAUAUAAGAGAGGCAAGCGGAAUUGGUAGUGGAGCGGUAAAAUGCGUUGAGAUUACCAAGAACGCCGAAGGAGAAGUCAGCUUGCUGGUUUAUUAUUGACGCUAAAGCACGAAAGCGUAGGGAGCAAUCGGG